Molecule: long non-coding RNA, 467 nt
Organism: Oxyura jamaicensis (ruddy duck)
Lineage: Eukaryota; Metazoa; Chordata; Aves; Anseriformes; Anatidae
Exons: 2
Source: RefSeq, a predicted model, not a curated record
GAGAGGCUGGAGACCCUUGGGCUGCCCAGCCUGGAGAAGAGGAGGCCAAGAGGUCUCCAAAACACACUGUCCACAUGGUUGCAGAUCUCAGUACUCAGCCCAGUCUAGAUCAGAAUUACUCCAGUGAACAUGACAUGGAAUAUCCAACAUUACACCUCCCUUGACUUUCUUUUUCCUGAUAUUUAGCCAGUAUUUUAUUGAUUUAACCUGUAAAUUCUACUGAUAAUCAUAAUAGCAUAUUUAAACAAUUUCUGUAGAACUCAGGAAGGGAACAGAUUAAAGGGCAGUGCUUAGUUAGUUUUUUCUCUUUUUAUACUCCUUUUUCUUAAGUGUCAUCUAAUUUCAGACUAUAUUUCUAUGGCAAUAUGAACACAUUUGUACUUGAAAAUAUGGUAAGAGCUUAUCAUUUCUAGUGAAAUGUUAUCAAAUGCAAGUUGAAAUUUGAGUAGUGUGUUUUGAACACUUAA